This 392-nucleotide ribosomal RNA is filed under the name uncultured Gammaproteobacteria bacterium. RNAcentral describes it as "bacterial SSU rRNA". It matches the Rfam family "Bacterial small subunit ribosomal RNA", at positions 370 to 779 of the family's 1533-position model. Lineage: Bacteria; Pseudomonadati; Pseudomonadota; Gammaproteobacteria. The record is from RNAcentral.
AAUGGAGGAAACUCUGAUGCAGCGAUGCCGCGUGAGUGAAGAAGGCCUUUGGGUUGUAAAGCUCUUUCGUCGGGGAAGAAAAUGACGGUACCCGAAUAAGAAGGUCCGGCUAACUUCGUGCCAGCAGCCGCGGUAAUACGAAGGGACCUAGCGUAGUUCGGAAUUACUGGGCUUAAAGAGUUCGUAGGUGGUUAAAAAAGUUGGUUGUGAAAUCCCGAAGCUUAACUUCGGAACUGCAAUCAAAACUUUUUAGCUAGAGUAUGAUAGAGGAAAGCAGAAUUUCUAGUGUAGAGGUGAAAUUCGUAGAUAUUAGAAAGAAUACCAAUUGCGAAGGCAGCUUUCUGGAUCAUUACUGACGCUGAGGAACGAAAGCAUGGGUAGCGAAGAGGAUU